AACAGGCAGAAGCUGUGAUCAAUUACAACUAAUUGAUCACAACCAGUUACAGAUUUCUUUGUUCCUUCUCCACUCCCACUGCUUCACUUGACUAGCUUAAA
RNAcentral lists this small RNA (101 nucleotides) under Cavia porcellus (domestic guinea pig). RNAcentral's name for it is "Y RNA (ENSCPOG00000018602.2)". It matches the Rfam family "Y RNA", at positions 24 to 96 of the family's 96-position model. Rfam says of the family: Y RNAs are components of the Ro ribonucleoprotein particle (Ro RNP), in association with Ro60 and La proteins. The record is from RNAcentral. Lineage: Eukaryota; Metazoa; Chordata; Mammalia; Rodentia; Caviidae.